CUCACUAUCGGAUCGUUUUAGAAACAUCAGUGGCCAACGGUCGUCAGGAUCGUUGAGCUGCAUUGGCGGGAUUUCGCCGUCUACGUUUCUCUUUCUUCGCGGACGAACACGCGCUGGGCCUGUAUGCGCAGGAUCCCUGGUCCUUGACGGGAUAUGCGUUAGGGGCUUGUAGCUCAGUUGGUUAGAGCGCGCGCUUGAUAAGCGUGAGGUCGGAAGUUCAAGUCUUCCCAGGCCCACCACACUCAUCGAGUGAGCAUUCGUCUUCUGGUUACGGGGCCAUAGCUCAGCUGGGAGAGCGCGUGCUUUGCAAGCAUGAGGUCGUCGGUUCGAUCCCGUCUGGCUCCACCAGAUGGUUUGAUCAUCGACUGAUCGUGCACCUAAAAUCGUCCGCGAUACAUCACUUCGCAUCUUGCUAGUCUGGAUAGACAGCAGGUUGCGUGAUUUCUGACAUCGUAAAGAGGAGAUCGAUCCGAGUUGGAUCGGGCAACAAGCAAUUGUUGCGCGAUACUUCAUUAUCUCCGGAUCAUUUCGGCGCUCGCGCGCCUUUCGGUGUGGCCCACAAGGCUGCGUCUGAAAGACAUGCGAGUUGUAAAUGAUCCUUUUAGCGAAGCUUGACCGCCUCGCUAUCGGAACGAUCUUACGAAGCAAGCUGGUCUUUCUAAUCAUUGUCCGGCUGUGAGAAUAGCGUUCAUCGAGGGCGCGUGCCUUAGAGAUUUCGAUCUCUUGGCAGUUCUUACAGACAACAUUCUGCCGAGUGUGUGGACAUUGAUAAUGAGAGCAAUCAAGUGCCUUAAGGGUGUUCGGUGGAUGCCUUGGCGCUGAGAGGCGAUGAAGGACGUGCUACGCUGCGAUA
RNAcentral lists this transfer RNA (853 nucleotides) under Bradyrhizobium japonicum. Its description in RNAcentral is "partial 16S-23S ribosomal RNA intergenic spacer; may also contain 16S ribosomal RNA and 23S ribosomal RNA". The stretch from base 163 to 236 matches the Rfam family "tRNA". Lineage: Bacteria; Pseudomonadati; Pseudomonadota; Alphaproteobacteria; Hyphomicrobiales; Nitrobacteraceae. The record is from RNAcentral.